GUUAAAAAUAAAUAAAUAACAAAGAAUAAAUAUCCCUUUCUCUUCUUCCCUCUGCCUGUAUCCAUAUAGGGGAAAGAAAAAAGUGCUCAGAGAUUCAGUGAGAUUAUGACCUUCACAAAAUCAUGAACUUUCUGCUGCCUUUUUAACCAGAAAUCUAGGCAGGAGGGUCUCACCAUUUUGCAUACCCUACCUGUUCCUUAGAGGCUCUAGGCUUUUGAGCCUUCCUAUCAUUUGACCAGCCAGGUUGCUUCUCAGCACCUUUUUUUUCCCCUUUGAGUCAGGGUCUUGCUUUGUCUCCCAGGUUGGGGUCCAGUGGCCCAAUUAUAGCUCACUGCAGCCUCAGUAUCCCAGGCUCAAGCAAUCCUCCCACCUCAGCCUCCCAAGUAGCUGGGACUACAGGCAUGAGCCACCAUGCCUAGCCUUCAGGCACCUUCCAUUCAGACCACAUUUUCUUUGGCAAACUGACAACGCCAAUGUUUGCAGAUUGCAGUUUAACUACAGCUAUAUUUUUUGCCAAACAUUUACACCUAACUGCUCUUUUCCACUAAAGUAUAUAACAAUUUACAGAAGCAUUUAAUGUUUUCUGAAUCCCCAAGGUCAUCAGCAGAGAAGCUCCAAAACAUGAAGGUGUACAUCCCUAUUUUAAAAGGCCUUCAUAGAAAGAAACC
RNAcentral lists this long non-coding RNA (668 nucleotides) under Pongo abelii (Sumatran orangutan). Its description in RNAcentral is "lincRNA". The record is from RNAcentral. Lineage: Eukaryota; Metazoa; Chordata; Mammalia; Primates; Hominidae.